Molecule: transfer RNA, 82 nt
Filed under: Bacteroidota bacterium
Lineage: Bacteria; Pseudomonadati; Bacteroidota
Also listed under: 1 other name
Description: tRNA-Leu
Rfam family: tRNA
About the family: Transfer RNA (tRNA) molecules are approximately 80 nucleotides in length. Their secondary structure includes four short double-helical elements and three loops (D, anti-codon, and T loops).
Source: RNAcentral
GCCGAAGUGGUGAAAUUGGUAGACACGCACGUUUCAGAGGCGUGUGACGCAAGUCAUGCGGGUUCAAGUCCCGCCUUCGGCA